Molecule: ribosomal RNA, 431 nt
Filed under: uncultured bacterium
Lineage: Bacteria
Description: partial 16S rRNA
Rfam family: Bacterial small subunit ribosomal RNA
Source: RNAcentral
UGUAUGANGGGACGUGAAGAAUAAGCAUCGGUAAGUGCGUGCNAGCAGNNGCGUAAGACGGGAGGAUGCAAGUGUUAUNNGGAAUCAGUGGGCGUAAAGCGUCUGUAGGUGGUGAGAUAAGUCAACUGUUAAAUCUUGAAGCUCAACUUCAAAAUCGCAGUCGAAACUAUUAGANUAGAGUAUAGUAGGGGUAAAGGGAAUUUCCAGUGGAGCGGUGAAAUGCGUAGAUAUUGGAAAGAACACCGAUGGNGAAGGCACUUUACUGGGCUAUUACUGACACUCAGAGACGAAAGCUAGGGUAUCAAAUGGGAUUAGAUACCCCAGUAGUCCUAGCUGUCAACUAUGGAUACCUAUAUCCUUGGACAGAUCUACCGGNCCCCCAUCCNCGNANNGGUGGCAGGGAUGCCNAACUCAAAGGAAUUGACGGGCUG